CGGGCGUGGCCACGGGGUGGGCAAAGGGAACGAGUAAUGGCCCGCGGCUAGCUGCCGUGGCGGCGGCGCCGGGUUCGCAGCGUGAUGGAGGCGUUGCGGAUUUUCCGGAAGAACUCGUGCGUGUUGGUCUCCAAAUCAGUGGGCUGCUCGUGCAUGAGGAAAGCUUGUAAGGGUGUUCUCUCCGAGUCCAUGUCUGGCCGAGUCGGGGACCUUUGGGGCUGCGGUUCUGGCGCCGGCCACCAGCGAGGCCGCAUCUCGCCGUUGCUGAUCUGGAAAGACAUAGGGCGGCCGCCGGGAGGCCACAGGCGCCGAGGCAGAGAGUUUCGGCGUUGCGCUGAAGGGCCAGUUGUGUGUCAGGCGGAGGAAGAGCAAUAGGAUGCGCCGUCGCUCGCUCCUCCCAGUGGCGUACCGCCACCAACCAUACGUUAUGCAGAGGGAAGAUGUACAUCACAGCAUCACCCCCAACCUCUUUGGCCGAAUGGAUUUGGCGGAGCCUGAACAGCACGAAUGGCCAUUUUGAGUCGCUGGGUGACAUGAUUAUUCGAGGAGCAUGACCGGCAAACCCACUUUGAGUUUUAGCUCAUGGUCUGGGAUUCCUGGGGAUGUCAAGGUGUUUAGGAAUUCAGCAGGCUGCAUGUUCAUCAUGAUAUUGGUGUUUGUCGUUGCCUUGCACACGGUGUCCAGGCUUAGGUAUGUCACCUCAUCACCUUGUAUUUGGCUCAUGAUGUGGUCGUUUAUCUCCUUGACUGUAUCAUUUCUUGGACAGAGUAUUGCUCUUUCUUCUAGGUAAUCCCGCUCACGGUAUUUUUGCAGCAAGUUUGGAUAUAUGCUUUCGACGAUUAGUUCUUUAUGAUUUUCUCCUUUCUGUAGCAGUAGGUCCUUUGGUAUUUUUAUCCAAUCCUCUCCUUCAUCUGAUGCUGUUUUCCCAUCGCCAAUUUGUAGUAUCCACUCUGCAAAUUCGGCGACCUUUUGCUUUUGUAUUGGAUCAUCUGACAAACACUUCAGCCGCAUGUUUUGUGUUAACUCAAAUAUUUCAAAGUGUUUCCACAGAUAUGACCUUUUGAUUGUAGCAUUAACUAUUUGUUCUCUCCUUCCUUUGGUUAUAACCGGUAGGAUUUGUCUGAAGUCGCCUCCUAGUAUAAUUGUCAUUCCACCAAAUGGCUUUUCGUCGCUGUUUUCGUUAGUGAACCUGAGAAUAUCUCUAAGGCUUUUGUCUAGUGCCUCGAAGCAGUGUUUGUUUGCCAUAGGAGCUUCGUCCCACAAUAUAAGUGAGGUCUUCUUUAGUAGUUCAGCCAAAUGUGAGCCUUGUUUUAUUUCACACGUUGAUUCUUCAGUUAUAUUAAGUGGAAUGCGGAACCUUGAGUGUGCUGUUCUUCCACCUUGGAGAAGCAACGCUGCAAUGCCACAUGAUGCCACCACAAGCACUAUCUUCCCCUCUGAUCUUAGCUUCGUCGUUAGUGCUUUCCAUAGAUAGGUUUUUCCUGUGCCACUGUAGCCUUCGACAAAUAUCUGCUUUCCUAGCCCUUUGUUGACGGAUUCCAUUAUUUUAUCAAAGGCUUUCUUCUGGUCUUGGUUAAGAUUGUUUAGUAUGGUUUUGUGCUCAUCCUUGAGUUUCUCCAUGUCGUAGUUGACCUCUUCGUUUAUUAGUCUGUUCCCAAGUUCAUCUAGCUCUGCAGCAUUUGGUAGCUCUAUCUCUGUAUAUUCCUUUAAUGACUUUCCUACUUGCCUCAUCAGUUUUUCUAUCUCAAUCAGACCAUACGCUUGUUUCUGUGUGUUGGUGAGCUGAAGCGUUGGAAUGUUUAGAAUAAUCCUUCUUUUGUAUUGCAUAUCUUCACACAAUGCCUCCCAUGUUGAACCCCACAAUAUCUUUGGGUUUGUGACUUCGCAAUGGGACAAUAUGGUGGUGAAUAACUGACGCAGUUGUGCUCCUGAUGCCCAACUUGAUGCUUCAUUGAUACAGUCAAUCCACUCAGUGUCAUCAUCCAGAAAUCCAAGGGCUUGGCAUGCUGAUUUGUACGUUGGGUGAGUGACUCCAUCAAUGGUCCUAAUGUCCUCAAAUGAUGUGCAUCCUUUCUUGGUGUUUAGAAGCAUCCUCAGAUAAUGUCGCUCACCACUUGCGGGAUGUGCAUAGUAGAUUCUUCCAAUUGCAUAGUCCCUUUUUCGCUUCUGCCAACAUUUUGUUUCACGUUUCCAUACAAAUUUUGUAGGGAAUUCUGCAUACGUUAAUUCUUUCCCUAGCUCAUAUAUUUUAUUUGCCUCCAUCCAUUGAAUGAACUUGGUACUUUUAGAUCCUUCCCUUGUAACUAUCUUGUCAAGAUCAGUCGAGUCAGGAAAAAUCACUUGCUGCUCAUUUUCAAGAUGGAAAGGUAGCCUCUCAACGGCUGGAUCACGAUAGUGAAGAUCAAACUGGAAUAUCCUCCAGCAUGCUUCUGAUGUUGAUAUGUAUGCCAUCUCUAGGUAUUUCUUGAUCUCGUCAGUUUUGUUUGCUGUGAGCCUUUCCUUGAGCAAGGUUGUAACUUGAUCGUCGUCUUUGUCGAUAUACUUAUAUAGGUACUUGAUUGAUCUAGACCUAUUGCACCAUUCGACAUUUAUGUGAGCUUGAAAUUUGACCAGAAGAUCUCGGUUGUAUGGCACGACAAAUCUGUUGUCGAGCAUGACCACUCCCUUUUUGAUUUGCCUUCCGUCGUCCUUCCUUUUAUAUACUGGAAACCCGUCCUCGUCGAUGGUAGUACUAACAUUGUAUCUUUUUGGGAAAUGCUUGCUGCAUCUAUGGCUCACCAUGCAUGGUGAGUUUUGCUUAGCCUCUCCACAUGGGCCAUGCAUCAUGAAGUUCUCGACAGCUCCAAAUGCCUCAGGAUCCUCGUCCUUGUUUGGGAUCUCAGCGCUUAUUAUUUUAUCGAUUUGCGAUGGUUCUGGGUACUUGUCUUUGUCCUUCAGAAAUAUUAGUAUGUGGGCAUGCGGGAGUCCUCUCCUCUGGAAUUCUAUUGCGUAGAUAACUGCAGUUGGUUAAUAAUAGUUUGUUAAAUUUAGGUAAAAUUGAAAUGCAUCUUACUAAAGGGUAAGAAUUGUCUGACUAUAAGAUGACGCAUGAAAGAGUAAAUAUUGAUAGUUGAUGGGACUUACUUGCAAGUGUUUCUCCAAAGUAUUUCUUUUCUUUUAUGUCUCUCAUUAGCUCCUUUAGUUUUAUCAUAAAUACUCUGUCCAAAAUAUCUGGCCGAUCGGCUGGCUUUUGGCCACCUCCCGCUUCAUCUAGCAUGUAUUGGAUCUCAGGCCACUUUGCAUUGCAUGUGAAUGUUAUAAACAGGUCUGGGUAUCCAGCCCAACGACAUAUCGCGAAUGCAUCUUGCAAGUAUUGUGCCUUGUUUCUUCUACCACCUGUAAAAGAUGAAGGCACAAUUAUCCUCUUUCCAACCUGCUCUGUUCUUAUGUCCCCUCGCUUAAUUGCAUCCUGCAAUCCACUGUAAAGUUCAGUUCUUAGCUUUCCUUGAUUGUGUCGGAUCCAGUUUAGUCUAUUUUGCUCGAUACAUGUGUAUACAUCCACCCAAAAUUGCAGUGACAGAUGCCCAGACUUGAGCAAUAACAUUCCUUGGUCUGGACGUUGCUGUAGGUAGAAUGCAUAGUAGUCCAACAACGUUACGUAUUUCCUGCUGUUUUUAGCUCCUUUUGUUUUCUUGUACGGUAUCUCAAGUUUAAAACCAUCUUCUCCAUAUGGGAACAACAAAGGAUAUUGCAUGGACAUGAAUUUCGGGUGGAUCUCUGAUAUCCUUUGUGGCACCAUAUUUUUGUACUCGACAACAAUGUCACGUCCUUCACUCUCUCCAGUUGGAUCUCUUACUACCAAUGCUGCAACUUCAGAUGCGGAUGGAAGGUUGUGUGUUCCGUUCCUUUUUCCUAGUAUCCGAAGUGUGUAAUCAUGGUAGUCUCCUUCUUGGAAUCUAUCUCUUGCCAUUCUGAAUGUUUUUGCGAGGAUGUUGUUGUCGUCAAGCAUUAUUUGCAAUUCUUUGACAAUGUUGGGGUCCACUGUUGAUUUAUUAUCAUUGCAUCUUGACGCACUUAUCCUGUUUGCCACCUCAUUUUCAGUAUUAUAGAUGUACAGCUGUGCAAACCGAGGUUUGUCUAUACCUUCAGGUAAAAGAGUUCCGAUGUGGUGGUAGUUCUGUCCAUGCAAACGAAAAACAUAAGGUCCUUUGUGAGUGUUUAUUUCCUUGUCCACAACUCCUCCCAUGGAUGUGAAUGAAAACAUUGAGUUGUAUGACCUUAUAUUUUCUUUGAAGUUUACUGAAUCCUGUCCUUCACUUCUUAAGAGGUUUCUGAGGUAUGGUGGAGGCUCUCUUAGUGGUGGCAGAUCGAUUUUUCCCUGUUUGCAGCAUAUUCCAAAAGAGGGUGUCUUUGUUCCUUUGUUUGAAUUUAAUCUUUCUUCACACCAUAGCAAUGCUUUGCAAUACUGGCAUUUGUAUGUUGGCCUUCCGAAGUUCCAUGCCUUUCUAUUAGCACUUGUCGAGGUUGUGGUUCUGUUGUUGUCUCCAACAUUGAUUCUAAUGUUGUUUUUGUUGCUUCCGCUUCUUGCACACUUCAAUUCCUUAUCUUCUUCAGCACUAUCCUUUCUCAAUCGUUUAGGAGCCUCUGUGUUCGUAUUUCUUCUUCCCUCUCCAGUCCUUGUCUGCUUUGUGCUCCUUGAGUUUAGAGGUUGUUCUUCCUUUCUUUUUGUAUGAUGAGCUGCUGGGGCUGACGUAUGCUGGACUGUCAUCUCUGCAAAUGUGAUUUUGUCAGUGACGUAUAGAGUUUUCUUAAUAUAGUAUCAUGUACUAUGAUUUAUGUUGUACUCCCUCGAUAACUUAAUGAGACGUUUUUUUGACACUAUCAAAAAAUGUCUUAUAUUAAGUUACAGAGGGAGUACUUAAUAAUGUUUUGCCAUUGCAGACAUGAAAGUGCAUUUGGAGAUAUGAUGAAGAGACUAAUAAGGUGUCACAUAAAGUACAUUUAUCUGGUAUGACGGCACUAUAAAUCAACAAUUGUUCAAUAGGUGUCAUGGUAGUGUCAGGAUGCAUUAAAAACAUGCUUUACAGUUUAGUAUCAGAAGAGUUUUGACAUAGAAUAUUAGAAGGAAGGUUGAGCUGAGAUCAAAAUGCUGACACACAUGUGAGGAAUUGCAUGUGGAUAUUACCUGGUGUUGAUGUUGUGUCUUCAAUUUGGUGGACGUUUCUUUGCGCCUUCGAUUGUUUGGGCGUCGCGGGCGUAUAUUGGAUGCAAGUUGCUGGAUUUGUUGACAUGCCUUCGAUUUGUCGGCCAUCUCGUGUGUUCGAUUGUCUCGGCAUCUUGAAAAAGGAGCUAUUGUGAGAAAAUGCAGCAUGGGUCAGACCCAAGAGUUUAAUCAUAAAUAUCAUCUUAUAAAAUCAUGGUUGAAUGAUGAUUAUGUGAUGUAAGUAGUGACCAUACGUCUUUUUUGUUCUCCGAGACUAUGAUCUGACUGUUUGACUAAUGUAUCUUGAAGAAGGGACUAGUAUUGUGUGAUUA
Molecule: long non-coding RNA, 5514 nt
Organism: Triticum dicoccoides
Lineage: Eukaryota; Viridiplantae; Streptophyta; Magnoliopsida; Poales; Poaceae
Exons: 4
Source: RefSeq, a predicted model, not a curated record